This 832-nucleotide unclassified non-coding RNA is filed under the name Hevea brasiliensis (rubber tree). Lineage: Eukaryota; Viridiplantae; Streptophyta; Magnoliopsida; Malpighiales; Euphorbiaceae. The record is from RNAcentral.
AGAAUAUAUGCAAACCAGUCUCGUACCAAUCUCCAUCAUCAUCUUUCCAUGCAGCUACCUUUCCACCUAGAACAUCCCUUGCCUCCAGCAGUAUCGGUUUGUGACCAGCAUCUGCCAAAUAUUUUGCUGUAGACAAACCACCCAAACCUGCACCAGCAAUAACAAUCUCCAAUGGUUUAGUUGGGCGCGGAGAAGCACGGAACGUUGAUGAUAAAAAUGCAGCCUCCAAAUAGUUAACUGUAUUGUCCAGCUCUGGUCUUGGAUAAUCAAUGCAUACGACCUUUAAAGGCCCCAAGUCCUUAACCAAUCUUCUGGUCGUGGCAUGGGGAGUACGAAUCUUUAACUUAUGACCCAUUGAUUCGCUACCAGCAAAACAUAACGAAUUCCUUUGCAAGCAACCAUCUCGACUUUCAGUUCCCAAAGAAGACGACCUCGAGCUCCAAAGAUAAGCUGAACUACCUUGGACUCUCAAGUUAACAGCAGAAACAAGUCCAAUUUGAGGCAUUUUACUGAAAAAUAACAGUAAAACCUCGGAACGAAUGAAAGCACCUAGAAGAUAUAGGGAGUGGUUCUGCACAAUUAAGCAAAUAAAUUUGGUUGGGUUGAAGUUGAAGAGUUAAAUGGAAACUUGAAAUUUGUGGUGGUUUGGCAGUUACCCAGAAAAAGAUACCGAAUGCUAUAACUAGUAAAAGCGUAUAAUUCUGUAUAAAUAAACAAACUAAUUUAUGAUGAAGAUGCCUGCUUUCGGUGAUUUGGCCAAUUCCCUUUAAAUCAAAUCUCAUGUUUGGCUACAAUCCAAAAUUUGACACGUCCCACCAUAGCCACACUUGCG